RNAcentral lists this ribosomal RNA (492 nucleotides) under uncultured bacterium. RNAcentral describes it as "partial 16S ribosomal RNA". It matches the Rfam family "Bacterial small subunit ribosomal RNA", at positions 29 to 507 of the family's 1533-position model. The record is from RNAcentral.
AGUGAACGCUGGCGGUAGGCCUAACACAUGCAAGUCGAACGGCAGCACAGUAAGAGCUUGCUCUUACGGGUGGCGAGUGGCGGACGGGUGAGGAAUACAUCGGCAUCUACUUUUUCGUGGGGGAUAACGUAGGGAAACUUACGCUAAUACCGCAUACGACCUACGGGUGAAAGCAGGGGAUCUUCGGACCUUGCGCGAUUGAAUGAGCCGAUGUCGGAUUAGCUAGUUGGCGGGGUAAAGGCCCACCAAGGCGACGAUCCGUAGCUGGUCUGAGAGGAUGAUCAGCCACACUGGAACUGAGACACGGUCCAGACUCCUACGGGAGGCAGCAGUGGGGAAUAUUGGACAAUGGGCGCAAGCCUGAUCCAGCCAUACCGCGUGGGUGAAGAAGGCCUUCGGGUUGUAAAGCCCUUUUGUUGAGAAAGAAAAGCAGCAGGUUAAUACCCCGCUGUUCUGACGGUACCCAAAGAAUAAGCACCGGCUAACUUCGUG